This is a long non-coding RNA of Topomyia yanbarensis, 959 nucleotides long. RefSeq lists it as uncharacterized. The record is from RefSeq and is a predicted model, not a curated record. Lineage: Eukaryota; Metazoa; Arthropoda; Insecta; Diptera; Culicidae. The transcript is spliced from 3 exons.
AUGAUCUGCGUCGGAAUCUAUCGUCGUCGUCAGCUCAUGCACAAGUAAUUUUGGCAAGAUGUACAACGUAAGCAACGUAAUGAGUCUUAGACAUACUAUUUCGAGACACUUUGUUGUAAAUAUUGUUUUUGAAACUUAUUGUUCUCGUUAUAUAGAAGUUUCCGAACAAUCAGGAUUCUAAUUAAAUUAUUUAUCUUUUUGUUUUGCUGGUCAGAAUGGCGACGGCUCACUAGAACAAGUGAAACCGCAGUGCGAUGAGCUCGAAUUGGACAAUGAAACCGAAAAUUAGAAUGAACAGAACAAGGAUUAUGCCCAAGAUCAAUAUAAUACGGUAUAGAAUCAACUCUAUUCUCGCCCCAUCAAUUGGGCUACAGAUAUUCGACGAUGCGAUCAUUUUACUUGACGCAGGCGUAAGCCAUGCACCGAUCGGUGAUAUGAAACGUUUCGAUUGUAAAUCUUGGUCGUUUAACGUAAAAUGGUAUGGAAUUGAUUCGAUCCCCUUACCAUCUACUAUACUAAAAGUAUGUGCUUGAACCGCUACGAGUUGAAUAAGACCUAUUGCCGAUUCGAAAGAUCACGUUGAAUCAGGUGCGAUGCUUUGCGCAACAAAACAUUACGCCAAGUUCCGUAAAAUGGAUAAUGCCAAAAAAACAAAGUUUAUCCCUGCCGUUAUUAGCGAGAUUAACAGAAAAUUUACCAGAAAGCAACAUUCAUCAAAGAUCCAGUGUAAAUCGGGUCGAGUGACUAUUAAUGCGUCGCAGUAUGGAUCGUAUAGAUUCGUCAAUUAAUGCGAAUCCGCACCCGCAAGGCAAGUAUACAUUGAUUGGCAUCGAUAUUUAUACGAUUGGUCUCAGUUUACACACCGGUGCAGCAGUACUCGCUGUAUAUUAUACCACUGGUGAACCUGAAUUCGCUUGCGCCACCACUGUCGGUUGUUUCCGAAUGCUGAAAAUCCUAUU